This 309-nucleotide ribosomal RNA is filed under the name uncultured eukaryote. Its description in RNAcentral is "partial large subunit ribosomal RNA". It matches the Rfam family "Eukaryotic large subunit ribosomal RNA", at positions 40 to 350 of the family's 3401-position model. The record is from RNAcentral.
AUAUCAGUAGGCGGAGGAAAAGAGACUAACAAGGAUUACCUCAGUAGCGGCGAGUGAAGAGGUAACAGCCCAAGAUGUAAAUCUGAACCGUAAGGGGAAGAAUUGUAAUCUAUAGGAAUUCUCGGAAGCGAUUAGUAAGUCAUAAGUCCCUUGGAAAAGGGUGCCAAAGAGGGUGAUAGCCCCGUCUUAGGAUCGACGAGUUCGUAUGAGGGUUUUCUAAGAGUCGGGUAGUUUGGGAAUGCUGCCCUAAUUAGGAGAUAUACUUCUUCUAAGGCUGAAUAUCUAUAGGAGACCGAUAGCGCACAAGUA